AGAGUUUGAUCCUGGCUCAGAACGAACGCUGGCGGCGUGCUUAACACAUGCAAGUCGCACGAGAAAGUCCCCUUCGGGGGGCAAGUAAAGUGGCGCACGGGUGAGUAGUACUAAGGUAAUCUGCCUUCGAGCGUGGGAUAACCCUUCGAAAGGGGGGCUAAUACCGCAUAAGACCACGGGCACAUAAGUGCCAGGGGUCAAAGAUGGCCUCUACUUGUAAGCUAUCACUUGAAGAUGAGCCUUAGCACCAUUAGCUUGUUGGUGGGGUAACGGCCUACCAAGGCUCCGAUGGUUAGCUGGUCUGAGAGGAUGACCAGCCACACUGGAACUGAGACACGGUCCAGACUCCUACGGGAGGCAGCAGUGAGGAAUAUUGGACAAUGGGCGAAAGCCUGAUCCAGCGACGCCGCGUGAGUGAUGAAGGCCCUCGGGUCGUAAAGCUCUGUCAGGUGGGACGAAUAAGACAAGCAUCAGAUCCUUGUCGAUGACGUACCGCCAAAGAAGCACCGCUAACU
RNAcentral lists this ribosomal RNA (515 nucleotides) under uncultured bacterium. RNAcentral's name for it is "bacterial SSU rRNA". It matches the Rfam family "Bacterial small subunit ribosomal RNA", at positions 8 to 502 of the family's 1533-position model. The record is from RNAcentral.